CAGAGGCUGAAGACAAUCUUGCACAAGCAUUUUGUCUAGUAGGAGACUUUCAAUCUGCAAGGGACCAUUGUAAAGAAUCAAUCAAGAUACUUGAGAUGCUAUACGGCAAUGAUCACAUUGCAAUUGGAUAUGAAUUGGUUAAACUUUCAACCAUUCAGCUGUCCUUGGGCGAUCCUCAUGCUGCAGACGCCAUAAAUCGGCUAGGUUUAAUAUUUGUGAGGUAUCACGGAUCACACA
This 237-nucleotide unclassified non-coding RNA is filed under the name Hevea brasiliensis (rubber tree). The record is from RNAcentral. Lineage: Eukaryota; Viridiplantae; Streptophyta; Magnoliopsida; Malpighiales; Euphorbiaceae.